RNAcentral lists this long non-coding RNA (15736 nucleotides) under Brassica napus (rape). RNAcentral's name for it is "long non-coding RNA (BNAP_LNC012379)". Lineage: Eukaryota; Viridiplantae; Streptophyta; Magnoliopsida; Brassicales; Brassicaceae. The record is from RNAcentral.
GAGAAGGGUGUCAACGUGAGAGGAUACUUUGCAUGGGCUCUUGGAGAUAAUUAUGAAUUCUGUAAAGGUUUCACCGUCAGAUUUGGACUCAGUUACGUUAAUUGGGAAGAUCUCGACGACAGAAACCUCAAAGAAUCUGGCAAAUGGUACCAGAGAUUCAUUAACGGGACUGUCAAGAAUUCUGCGAAACAAGAUUUCCUCCGCUCAAGCCUAUCUUCCCAGAGUCAGAAGAAGAGGCUCGCUGAUGCAUGAAACACUUUCCACCAUCAAGAUCAUCUCUAUAUCUCUCACUCUUCCUACUUACUCAAUAGAUAAGGAGAUUCUUCGAUCUACAAUGUACUAAAUAAACAAUCUCAAUAAAAAGAUGAUCAGUUAUUAAAUGAAUAAAAAUAAUUUAUCUACAGCUACAUUAUGACAAGUCAAGAGGACGAGGAAAGAGGGGAAAUAACACAAUUUAAAACAUAAAACACUCAGAAAUCUCAAACUAGUCUAGUGUAAAAAAAAUCUUAACGGACGGAUUAGCCUAAAUUCACUAAUUAGUUUAAUAAGUGCAACUUAUAUAAUAAAAGGUAUCUUCAACAUAAUAAAUAACAACCAAACCUAAUACAAACUCAAAAGUUUCUAAACCAAAGUUCUAUAAUCCUCAACUAAAACUUUAUGAGAUCUCACAUAUGAUCUUUUAUCAUUCAUAUAAUUUUAUUUGAUUUUGUUACUUUUUUUUUGGAACAAACUACCUUUCAUCCAAUAAAAUGGAAAUACAAUCUAUCGUGGGAGGAGAGGUUUAGAGUAGCGAAGGAAUUUUGUUACUUAUAUAAUCAAUAAACCCAAAAGAAGCUAAACCGCAAUCCUUUGUUUUUAUUUCUUUGUAUUUCAACAUUGUAUUCUACUCUUGAAUGAUGGAAAAAUAAUAUCAAGAAUUGAUAGUAUCAGAAGUUUCUGAAAGAACAUGUCAUUUUCGGUUUCCUAUAUGGGCAAUUCUCCUAAAUAUAACAUUUUCAAGUUUUGAUCACAAAAAUAUACCACAUGGAGGAAAAUGACCAAAAUAUUUCAUUUAAUAAGUAAAAUGACCUUAAUACCCUAGAUAUAUAUAAAAAAUAAUAAAGAAAUAAAAAAAUAAUUUUUUUAUAGUUUUAGAUUACAUGUUUUCAAAUUCGAAUUUUUUAUUAAAAAAAAAAAAUUUAUUAAAAAAAAAAUUCAAAAUUUUUUUUUAUUUUUUUUCAAAUUUUUUUUUUGUAAUUUGAAAAUACUUUUUGAAACUAUUUAAAUUUUUUUUAUUUUCAAAAUUUUAAUAUUUAUUUUUUAUUUUAUAAAUUUUUAAAUCUCAAUUCUAAAUCUUCACCCUUAACUCUAAACCCUAAGAUUUAGGUUAAUUAACCAUAGGGGUAUAAGUGUAUAUUUACCUAUCUAAUGAAAUAUUUUUGUCAUUUUGAUUCUUAGAGUCUAUAUUUGUGACAUUAACUUUUUUAGUGUUAUAUAUCCUAUGAUAUUUCCCUUCCUAUAUUCUUUAAGACUUUCUGCGGAUCUCCCAAACCAAAAAUAAAGACGUGGUUAGCCAUUAAUACAAACUUUGAAAAGCUUCUCUACGAGAAAGCUAUGGAGAUUUGGUUUGGAAGUAGAUAAUCUUUUUUCCAUGUCUAUAAAUUUGCUAUAGGUUUUCUCUUACAUAAAGGUAGCAUUAGAUAGGUUUUCUCUUACAUAAAGGUAGCAUUAGAUUGUAAAAAGGUUUUUUGAAGUGAAUAAAAUUUAAAAUUCUUUCAAAAAAAAAAAAGCUUCUCUAACGUAAUAGACCAUUUUAAACUCACCAUACGCACUGCAAGUAAUAAAAACUAUCAUUUCUAUUGCAAUAUGUAGUUUUCUUUUUUUUGUAAGUAUGUGAAUUUUUCAUUACUCAAGAUAAUGAUACAAUGAAAUAUAAAUAGAGUUUGAGAGAUCAAAUUCUAAUGCAUCUAGGAUAGCUAAUCAAAGCAAAGGUCUUAGAAAGUCCCCCAAUGAAAUUAAAAAGACUUUCAAAGAUCAAAGACGAAGAAUGUUUAAUCAUCAACUAAAGAACAGUGAAGCUUAACUAGAACAUGAUUUCAGAAAACCAAAAACAGUCCAGGAGUUUGAAGCUUAACAAACUAAUACAACCUCUGUUUCUGUUAUUCAUACCGAAGUCAAUACAAGCAUAUUUAUACAGAGAUCAUCCUUAAAAAUAGGAGAUAACAACGACAGCUAAUAAUAGUUUAUGUUUAUCUAAACUAUAAGUUUAUCCUUAUCUAAUACUCCCUCUCAAGAUGGAGCGUGAAGAUCUCGAACACCCAUCUUGGCAAGUAAGUAGACUAACUGUUGUCGACCAAGAGAUUUAGUGAGGACAUCAGCUAACUGUUCCAUUGUACCAAUAUGAUGAGUCGCAAUAAUCCCAGCUUGAAUAUAGUCUCGAACAAAAUGACAAUCGACCUCGACAUGCUUCGUUCUUUCAUGGAACACUGGAUUGUUUGCAAUAUGAAUAGCCGCCUUACUGUCACACUGAAAUGGAAUAGGAAGACGUUGCUUGAUUCCUAACGAGUUCAUGACACCAAUCAUCCACUUGAGUUCACUACAAGUCAUAGCCAUAGCUCGAUAUUCAGCUUCUGUUGAUGAUCUCGACACUGUUGGCUGUUUCUUUGUCUUCCAAGACACAAGAGAGUUUCCCAUCAUAACAAUAUAACCCGUGAGAGACUUCCGCGUCAAGGGACACGCUGCCCAGUCUGAGUCACUGAAGGCAGAGAGCGACAGAUCACUUGUGGAGCUUAGCAAAAUACCUUGCCCCGGUAGACCUUUCAAAUAACGAACCAACCGAAGUGCUGCUUCCCAGUGCUUUUGUCGUGGUUGUUGGAGAAACUGAGCAAGAAUGUGCACUGGAUAAUUCAACUCUGGUCUUGUUAUGGCCAAAUAAACUAGCCUUCCCACCAAUCGUCUGUACUGAGACGGUUCUGUAUAGUAAGCCCCUUUGUCACGAGCCAAAUUAUGGUACUGCUCCAUUGGUGUAUCCACUGGUUUCGAUCCUAGGAGUCCACACUCAGACACAAUAUCCAGAGCGUAUUUUCGUUGGGACAAGUAGAUACCUUCAUUGCUUCUUAACACUUCAAUCCCUAGAAAAUAUUUCAAACCUCCCAAAUCCUUCAUAUGAAAAUCACGAUGCAAGUGCUCUUUGAACUUCUGAAUCAGUGUAGGAUUAUCACCACCAAUAAUCAAAUCGUCAACAUACACUAAAACAAAGAGAGUAGUGUUGUUGCGAUGUAAUGUGAACAAUGAGUAGUCAAGUCGAUUUUGUUUGAAUCCAAACUCCAGAAGAGACUUAGACAGCUUAGCAAACCAACAACGUGGAGCUUGCUUCAAACCAUAUAAAGCUUUAUUUAACUUGCAGACCUGAUUAGGUUUCGAUGAGACAAAGCCAGAAGGUAACUUCAUGUACACUUCUUCUUCAAGAUCACCAUGAAGAAACGCAUUAUGUACAUCCAUUUGAUGUAGUUCCCACUGUCGAGCAGCUGCUAUACCUAAUAGAAUGCGCACCGUAUUCAUCUUCACAACUGGGGCAAAUGUUUCAUUAUUGUCAACACCUUCUUCCUGUUUGUUUCCACACGCAACCAAGCGUUCUUUGUAUCUCUCCACUGUGCCGUCGGCAUUAAACUUUAUUUUGAAUAUCCAUUGGCAUCCUAUGGCCUGUUUCCCUGGUGGUAAUGUGGUAACAGUCCACAUACCAUUUUCUUCAAGAGCAUUUAUCUCUCCCGAAGAUGCAUCUCUCUAGCGUUUGUCUUUCAUGGCUUCUUUAAAGGAUUUUGGCUCAAUGUGAGACUCAACUUCCAAUAGAAAAGCAUGUACGUGUGGAGCAAGUUUAUCAAAGGAAACAUAUUUAUCCAAUGGAUAGGUACACUUACCUGAAGACGAUGUAUCAGGCGAGUGAGGAGCAUGUGAGGGUUUUUCAUUGAUACGUGUAGUGUAUGUAACAUAAGGACCCAUUAGAACUGAAGUUUUCUUGGUUUGAUGUCCUCUACCCAAUUGUGUAGUCUCUGUCAAAGUCUCUGGCUGUUCUGUCGGGGGAUUUUGUGUUUAUCUUGGUUCUCCACUUGUGUGUGGUUCAGCAAUGGUCGGAGAAAUGGGUUCUGUGGUUGUGUCAAGUGCUGCAGGAUCAUUGUUUGCUGGUGUAUUCAAAACUCCCCCUGUCUCCAAUAUUUCCGUAGAAUGGAAUGGAUCAAAGUCAUCGUCAAAUGUCGCAGGAUGUGUAGAGAGUUGGACUGGUAGUGAAUCAUCUGUGGUUGUAGAUGUCUUGGUUGUAGUAAACGGAAACAUAUCCUCAUGAAAUUCUACAUCACGAGAGACAAAAAAAUUUUCUGUUUCAAGGUCACAAACGACCCAGCCUUUCUUGCCCAUAGGGUAACCAAGAAAUACACACCGAGUGCUUCUUUCAUCAAACUUAUCUUUGCCACGUGCUAUCCGUUGUGCGUAACAGAGUGUGCCAAAUACUCGUAUAUGCUCAUAUGUUGGUGAUUGUCCAUGAAGCAUCUCAUACGGUGUCUUAUUGUGUAAAAUGCGUGAUGGUGUUCUGUUGAGUAAGUAAGUCGCAGCUAAAAUGCUUUCUCCCCAAAAUUGUUUUGGUAGGUUUCCUUGGAGCAGUAGAGCACGAGCAAUGUUAAGUAUGUGGCGAUGUUUUCGUUCGACGCGUCCAUUCUGCUGUGGUGUCUCCACACACGAAGUCUGAUGUAUGAUUCCCUGAGCUGCAAAGAACUCUCGAAGGCAGAUAAACUCAGACCCAUUAUCACUGCGCACUAUCUUAAUCUUUUUGUUAAACUGUCUUUCAGUGUAAGCACAGAACGUUUUCAACGCUUGUGGAGCAGCUUUUUUCUCCAGUAAGAGUAUUGUCCAGACAGCUCUAGAGAAGUCAUCAACAAUAGUUAGAAAAUAUCAUGCUCCUGAGGUAGAACGUUCAUGAUAUGGACCCCAUAAAUCACAGUGUAUUAAGGCAAAACAAUCAUCAACUUUAUUAAUGCUAAUUGGAAACACAGCUCGGGUUUGUUUGGCACGAUGACAAGUACCACAAGAACUCUCUAAAACACCAACACUAUUUUCAAAUCCAGCAACUGAAGAUAAAACUGAAAGAACUGCAGAAGAUGGAUGACCCAUGCGUGCAUGCCACAAAUCUCGAGUCUGAAGUGAUUGUCCGUGAUUUGCUUGAGCCGCAACAGUCCCCAAAUAUCGAAAAACUCCAUUAUGCUCUUCACCCGCACCAAUCAAAGUCUUCGAGGCGAGGUCCUGUAUCACACAAAAAUUCUUAGUAAACAGAACGAAACCAGCAAUAUCGUGAAGUAAUUGUGACACGGACAUAAGAGUUGUUGAAAGAUGUGGUGCAUAAAAGACAUGUCUCAGCAAGAGACGUCCGCCAAGGUUCAGUUUUCCCUGUUUUGUGGCCCAAGUUAUGUUCCCAUUAGGCAACGUGAUCGGACAAGGAGGUAUGGAAAUAACAUCACUUAAGAGAUUAAUUUCUCCAGUCAUGUGAUGAGAAGCUCCUGAGUCGAUGAUAAUGUCGAAUCUGCUGUUUGUGCCAUAAAAGACAAGUUUUUCUGUCUUACCCGAAAGCUUCUCAUUGUUUGUUGAUGCUGAUUUUUGUGAGCUCAUAAACUGUGUGCUGAUUUUUGUGAGAUCAUAAACUGUGUCAAAGUGGCCCAUUGUUCUGGUGUGAGGUUUGGAAUCCCUGAUGUCUGAGUUUCAGUCGAGCCAGAGGAGUCCACAUUAGUGUUGUAUGCACGGAACCCUGAUCCACGACCUCCACGUCCUCUGCCUCCUUGCAUAUCACCUCUUCCUCUUCCUCCUUUCUCCAUUCCUCUGCCAGCUGCAGGUUUGGUAUUUUUGUUUUCUGUCCACCACUCUGGAUACCCAAUGACUUGAAAACAUUGACUUGCUUCAUGUCCUUGCUUUCCACAAUGAGAGCAGACAGAGUUGUUUCACGCAAAACGGACUGCAGCAGCUUGGGCAUUAGUCAGUGACUGUUGUGAUGACUGAGAUGUUUGUGUGGUUGCGGAUAGUCCAAUAACAGAUGUCUUUUCUUCUUGUCGCACAACAUCCAGAUGGCGUUCUUCCUGAAUGAUUUGCGAGUACACAGACUCAAGAUUGAGUUCUGCUUGCCUGCUCAACAGAUUGGAACGAGUUAUACCAAAACGUGAGUUGUCUAAGCCCAUGAGAAAUUGGUGAACCCGUAUCUUCUAUUCCUUCUUCUCAUAUUUGAGCAUUGAAGCACAAUCUGAAUCGCCACAACAGCAUGUAAAACCUUUGUCAAGAUUUGCAAGAUCAUCCCACAAGAUCUUUAUUCUCCCAAAAUAAACUUCCACCAUGUCUCCGUUCUGUUUUCAAGAAGCAAUAUCAGCAUGAAGCUGAUGAAUACGAGUAUCAUCGCUGAUUGAGAACCUUCGUUUAAGGCUACUCCACAUGACCUUUGCACUAUCUACAAGAGAUAUAGACGGACGCAGCUUUGGCUCAACACUGCUGUAAAUCCACCCAAUGAUCAUGGAGUUCACCAUGUCCCACUUCUCUGCAUCCUCUGGUUUGUCAGCAGGUCUCUUUGGUUCCAUCAAUAAACCCAUGUUUUCGUUUUGCUUUCAACGAAUUGAGCAUCAAUUUUGCCCAACGCUCAUAGUUUGCUCCAUUCAAGAGAAUGGGUGUCUGUGCUUGUCCUGUAUUUUCUGAUGGAUGAAGGUAGUAGGGUGAAACAAGCGUUGUCAUGUCAACAGGUUUUGGAUCGGACGCCAUAGUUAAUCAAAGAACAAGAUGAUCAAGAUAAUUCUCACCGCAAUACGAUGGUUCAAGGGUUAAUUAGCUUGGAAAAAAAAAUUAUUUGUGUGGCUCUGAUACCAUAACAAACUAAUACAACCUCUGUUUCUGUUAUUCAUACCGAAGUCAAUGCAAGCAUAUUUAUACAGAGAUCAUCCUUAACAAUAGGAGAUAACAACGACAGCUGAUAAUAGUUUAUGUUUAUCUAAACUAUAAGUUUAUCCUUAUCUAAUAAAGCUUACUCUUGUAGCUGGUACCUGCACCAAGAGCAUUAAACAUCAGAGUAUAUGAGCCGGAGAAUAAGCCUAGGAACCGAAGCUUAUCCCAAAGGCGACUUCGAAAGGAAUCAAAUCGAAGCAGGUUUUACUAAGUCCUGGUCCGGCUAACAUCCGGUGAGGUCCACUCCAGACACGGAACAACUCCAAAGUAACGUGACGGUUCCUUGAAAACCCUAUUCUGAUGAAAAGAAUUCAACAGUUAAAGCGUGGAGUGACUGUGGCAGAAGCAAGACGAGGUUUAUGGCACUCAACUCUGGUUCCUUAACACAAGCCGACCACUCAAAAUAAUUCGGCUUCAAAGCAAGGAAAAGGCAGGGCGCAGCAUCAUUCGACCUCUUUUUGGACCGUUGAAGAACAGGAGACCCGAAAGCUCUGAAAUCAGAUGACUAGAAGAGCAGUCAUGCUUUGGUGUUAAGAGAAUCAUACCGAGGAGAAGUCCCCAACGAGAGCGUCAAAUCAUCUUUUCUCCAUAGAUCCCCGAAAAUAGAAGGAGAAAUCUAGGAGAGCAACCGACUGAGGGGAUAUUUGGAGACAGUUUUUUUCUAACAAGCGAGAAACAAAUAACACUGUGGUUAAAAAAAAAAUUUACAGUGUUUAUCUAUUUGGAUUAUACCUCGAUGGCUGCUCACGUUUUAAAUAUGACGACUGUUUUUUAUGUUUUAAAUACAAAAUUUUAAAUUUUAAUAUAAUUUAGGGUGCACAUGCCGCCACACCCUAUAACCUGCCUUCGCCACUGUCCGUAACUCGUAGCUUAAUGUAGUGCAUUUUUUUUUUUGCUUAAAUGCAGUGCAUUUUUAUACAUGGCAGUUUGCAGAAAGAGCGUGAAAUCUUAGAAAAAUCCAGUGUAAACUCGUAACGUAAAUGUUAUUUAUAUCUAGUAGUUCUCAAAAAAAUGUUACUUACACUGAAACUAUUAUAGAAGGCAGGCGGUAAAGCACAUAAAUUUCAUUAAAUAUUUUAUUUUUGAAAUAAUAUGAACUGUUUAUUUUAAUUCAUGUUUGAAGUCAUAGCUAGCACUGUUUCAGGCAUUUCAAUAGAAGAAUCUUUUGUUAAAAAGAAUAUCUAAUUUUGAAAAACAUAAAAAAAUAAGUAUAGAGCUAAAUUAUUGAAUAAACUAUAUGUUAACACAAGGUUCUUGCAUUGCAACCCUUCCAAUCAUCUAUAAACGAUACAGAAAAAAGCAAAAAAUGUUCUUUCGGAGACUCCGGUCUCAUGUGAUAAAGACAUAUACAUAGAGAGGUCAAAAGAAUCAAAACCAAUAAGAUAUGUUGUGAUUGUUUUUUUCUUUUCCUUUUUUUGAUAUAUUGUGAUAGCGGUGAAGCUCGUGAAAAGUGUGGCCUUGAAUCGGUGUUACUCUAGAUUCAACACUUGAUAAUGUUACGAUAAAAAUCUUCAAUAACUUUAUGGCGUUAUGACGAAGCUUUGAACAUUAUUUACUACAACCAAUCUUGAUAUAUAAUUCUUGUCGUUCAAGUUUCGCGCAAACCUUCGAUAUACACAUGCUGCAUUGCACCACUGUCGACGGAUCAAUUUGUAGAUGUGACACAAUUCGUGUUCCAAGUAGUACGUGUUCAGGUAAAAGGAAGACAAAAUAUGUGCUAUGUAACUAAAAGAAUUAUCUGCAAUAGAUAAUGGAAGACUAAAAAGUGGAAACAAACAAGAAAUAUAAGCAAAAUAGGUGAGCACUGAGCUAAAGUAAGUGAAUCCACGGGAUUCAUCUCACCUAAACCUCUCCCAAAAUAUCAAGAUACUAAGACAAAAAAUACAUACGACACUCUUCUUUCGAAAAGGCUAUAUAAACCCUAGAUGGGCACAAGGUUCCACACAACACAACACAUACAUCAACAUAUUAACCAUGAAGCUUCUUCAUGGACUCGCUUUAGUUUUUCUAUUAGCUGCUGCGAGUUGCAAAGCUGAUGAAGAAAUUACUUGCGAAGAGAACAACCCAUUCACAUGUAGUAACACUGAUAUUUUAAGCAGUAAGAACUUCGGAAAAGAUUUCCUUUUCGGUGUUGCAUCUUCUGCUUACCAGGCAUGUAGCAAAUGUUGUCACACCAUAAUUUUGAAAUAAAAUAUAAAACACUAAAAUGCAACUUUGCAUGGUUGUUUCUAUUCAUUUCAGAUUGAAGGAGGGAGAGGUCGUGGUGUUAACGUUUGGGAUGGCUUCAGUCACCGAUACCCAGGUACGUCAUAGUGUAUAUAUAUACAUGAGAUGAACGUCGGUUUAUAUGUACACGUAUUAAUGUAUUUGUAAUUACUAUCAGAGAAAUCAGGGUCAGAUUUGAAGAAUGGAGACACUACUUGUGAGUCAUACACGAGAUGGCAGGUUAAUACAAUGAUACUCAUACGACUGAACUAUAUAUGUAUAAAAACUAUAAAACUAUACGUGUGGAUUGACAUGUGAUUAAAAUAUGUAAACUGCAGAAAGAUGUAGACGUGAUGGGCGAACUCAAUGCUACUGGCUACAGGUUCUCCUUUGCGUGGUCAAGAAUCAUUCCAAGUAUGUACAUGUCAUCGAUUCGUUUGUAUUUUAACUGGGAUCAUUUAGUUGAAAAAGUACUAAUUAAUGUACGACAUAUCUAUACAUGAGCAGAAGGAAAGGUGAGUAGGGGAGUGAACCAAGGAGGUCUUGAUUACUACCACAAACUCAUAGAUGCACUCCUCGAAAAGAAUAUAACGCCUUUCGUUACCCUCUUUCACUGGGAUCUUCCUCAAACACUCCAAGAUGAGUAUGAAGGUUUCUUAGACCGCCAGAUCAUGUAUGUUUAUAUCUGUGCCAUGCUUCUUAUAUUAUUAAUAAAAGAAGAAAAAGAUUUGGUUUAGUUACAUGCAUUAAUGAAAUGAUUCUAUAUUAAUAUGGUCAGACAAGAUUUCAAAGACUACGCGGAUCUAUGUUUCAAAGAAUUUGGUGGAAAGGUAAAGCACUGGAUCACGAUCAACCAGCUAUACACAGUGCCUACAAGAGGCUAUGCUGUCGGAACAGAUGCACCAGGUCGAUGUUCUCCUAUGGUUGAUACCAAGCACAGGUGUUACGGUGGAAAUUCUUCAACAGAACCCUACAUCGUUGCACAUAACCAGCUUCUUGCUCAUGCCACGGUCGUCGAUCUUUACAGGACCAAAUACAAGGUGAGUUGUCUCAAUAUGUGAUAAAGAUGGUGUAAUGUAAUCUUCUUCUUUUUUUUGAUCAAAGGUGUAAUGUAAUCUAAGAUAUCUGAUUCUAACUUAGUCAUAUAUCACGUGACCAACAGUUCCAAAAAGGGAAGAUUGGACCUGUGAUGAUUACAAGAUGGUUUCUUCCAUUUGAUGAGUCUGAUCCUGCCUCCAUAGAAGCAGCUGAGAGGAUGAACCAAUUCUUCCAUGGAUGGUAUAUAUAUAUAUAUAUAUAACCAAAAAUGUAUCAGUAUAUAUUGCAUAUAUGUAUAAUGAAAAAUAUACAUGGAUCAGGUACAUGGAGCCGCUAACAAAGGGUAGAUACCCAGACAUCAUGAGGCAGAUUGUGGGUAGUAGGCUUCCCAACUUCACCGAGGAAGAAGCAGAACUCGUUGCUGGUUCAUAUGAUUUUCUUGGUCUCAACUAUUACGUCACUCAAUACGCCCAGCCAAAACCUAACCCAUAUCCUUCAGAGACACACACUGCCAUGAUGGACGCUGGCGUAAAGCUCACAUGUACUUGUCUAUUACCACUUAGUUACAACCUUUUUAUAUAUAUAAAUGUUUUAUCUCUUUUUUGUGAGUGACCAUCAGUUAUUUCAUUCUUGUGGUUACAGAUGAUAAUUCACGUGGUGAAUUUCUUGGUCCACUGGUAUAUAUGAAUGGAUCCUCAACUAAAACUUAAUGAGAUCUUAUACCAUCCGCAACGGGGAUUAAAAUCAGUCGGUUCUUGUUGACGUGGAAUCUCCGUUCAAGCCUGACGUCCUCAAAGGUAAGGUAGCUCUCAUCACGGGAGGCGGAUAUGGAAUCGGUUUCGAGAUCUCUUCUCAGUUAGGCAAACAUGGAGCUUCCGUCGCCAUCAUGGGACGCAGGAAACAAGUCCUCGACGCCGCCGUCUCUGAUCUCCGAUCCCUCGGGAUUCAGGUAACCUUUCAGAGAGGAUUUUCGUUUUUGAUUUGGGAUUGAAUAGUAUUCGAUUGCUUGUUGAAUUGCUUGUUCUCUUUGGAAUGUAUCUCCAAGGCUAUUGGAUUGGAAGGUGACGUUCAAUUGAGCUUUGCGUGUCUAUUCACGACAUAGGAUCAGUGGAAGGAGGUUUUGUUUUACCCGGUGAUGGUGCUGCCACCUAUAAGGUACAUUUCAACUUAUGCAUCUUCUUCUUCAUUGCACAUUGUUACCAUCACUGUUUGACACAUCAACGUCUAUUGCAGUUUCUGCAGUGUAUUGAGUUGCAUCUUUUCUUGUGAUUGUUUUGUAGGUAGGUUUUAGAAUUGUAGUGUUUCGUCCAUUCGUUAGUGAAGUCAUUGCUGCAAGGUUCAAAGAAUCUGAUUCCAAUGGAUUGCGCUGUGAGUACUACUACUGUUGUGCAUAAUGAUUACUUAUACGUUUCAAGAACAUCAGCUAUCCACGUGUUCCAACUGAGCGAGGAGAUGAUGGAAAGCCUUUUGCUCCUAUGGUGGUUACUGUAAGUUCUCAUUCUCUGAAGAUAUCUUACUUGUAUUAGCAUAUAAAUAAUGAAACUAGUUGUAUAAAGCCUCCUAAUUUUGUCCUACUGAAGCUAUUCCACUUGUGAAAUGGGCAUGGGACUUUAGAUGAUGAUGGUUUGGGCCAUGUUUCUUGGUGGGAAGGUUCUACUUCUAAUGAGAAUCAUGAAGAUGAUGAUGAUACCUGAACCAAACUUCAAUCUCCAAAUGUAAGACUUCAGGUUCUUAAAGUAGUAUGUUUUUCUUAACAUAGGAAGUUGGAAUUAGACUCCUUUCCCAUGAUUCUAGGAUUAGAUUCCUUAAUUUUGAUUUUAUAUGUGUAUGGAAAAAUAUUUUUCUUAUAUAUAUGUGCAACUCUUUUGUCCUGCUCUCAUGGACUUGAGGAACACUACCCUCAGAACUAUGCGAGUGUCCUUAGCCAACCAAGUAUACCAAGAAGACCAGCAUCAAGUACCUUCGAUUUUCUCUCAAGCCCUACGAAUCAAAAGGUUAACAAGUGUUAGCUUCUUACGCUCAUAGCAAUCAACAAGUCUCUAUUACACUUGUCUCACCAAUGUCAACAGCUACACAAUGAGCACACAUCACUCCUGAGACAAGAUUCAGAAAAUUCAAGAGUUGUGUUUUAUUCCUAAGAACUUCAAAUUGGAGAACACCAUUGGAGAUAGAAUUUUGAUUAGGGUCCUUAACUAUUCAAAAAAAAAUUAGUUUAAUAAUGCUAAGGACUCUAAUGGUAGUAACACCAUUGGAGAUGCUCUAAACAUAUGACAUUUUAUCAUUCAUAUAAUUUUAUUUGAUUUUGUUACUUUUUUUUGAACAAACUACCUUUCAUCCAAUAAAAAGGAAAUACAGUCCAUGAGGAGAGGUUUAGAGUAAUGAGGGAAUUUUAUCACUUAUAUAACCAAUAAACCCAAAAGAAGCUAAACCGCAAUCCUUUGUUUUUAUUUGUUUGUAUUUCAACAUUGUAUUCUACUCUUGAAUGAUGGAAAAAUAAUAUCAAGAAUUGAAGUAUCAGAAGUCAUUCCAAGUAUGUAUUUUAAUUGGGAUCAUUUAGUUGAAAAAGUACUAAUUAAUGUACGACAUAUAUAUACAUGAGCAGAAGGAAAGGUGAGUAGGGGAGUGAACCAAGGAGGUCUUGAUUACUACCACAAACUCUUAGAUGCACUACUCGAAAAGAAUAUAACGCCUUUCGUUACCCUCUUUCACUGGGAUCUUCCUCAAACACUCCAAGAUGAGUAUGAAGGUUUCUUGGACCGCCAGAUCAUGUAUGUUUAUAUCUGUGCCAUGCUUCUUAUAUUAUUAAUAAAAGAAGAAAAAGACUUGGUUUUAGUUACAUGCAUUACUGAAAUGAUUCUAUAUUAAUAUGCACAGACAAAAUUUCAAAGACUACGCGGAUCUAUGUUUCAAAGAAUUUGGUGGAAAGGUAAAGCAUUGGAUCACCAUCAACCAGCUAUACACAGUGCCUACAAGAGGCUAUGCUAUCAGAACAGAUGCACCAGGUCGAUGUUCUCCUAUGGUUGAUACCAAGCACAGGUGUUACGGUGGAAAUUCUUCAACAGAAGCCUACAUCGUUGCACAUAACCAGCUUCUUGCUCAUGCCACGGUCGCCGAUCAUUACAGGAAGAACUAUGCGGUGAGUAGUCUCGAUAUGUGAAAAGGUGGUGUAAUCUUCACAUAUCUGAUUCUAAUCUAGUCAUAUAUAUAUCACGUGUUUAACAGUGCCAAAAAAGGGAAGAUUGGACCUGUGAUGAUAACUAGAUGGUUUCUUCCAUAUGAUGAGUCUGAUCCUGCCUCCAUAGAAGCAGCUGAGAGGAUGAACCAAUUCUUCCAUGGAUGGUACAUAUAUUUUAAAUAUUACCAACAAUGUAUCAAUACAUAUUGUAUGUAUGUAUAAUGAAAAUAUAUACAUGGAUCAGGUACAUGGAGCCGCUUACAAAGGGUAGAUACCCAGACAUCAUGAGGCAGAAUGUGGGUAGUAGGCUUCCCAACUUUACCGAGGAAGAAGCCGCACUCGUUGCUGGUUCAUAUGAUUUUCUUGGUCUCAACUAUUACGUCACUCAGUACGCCCAGCCGAAACCUAACCCAUAUCCUUCAGAGACUCACACUGCCAUGAUGGACGCUGGCGUAAAGCUCACAUGUACUACCUAGACUAUUACCACUUAGAGCAUUAAGUUCUUAGGGUGAGGUUCUUAACGGAAUAUAAGAAACCGUCUCUUAACUUUUAACCAGUGUUUUGAAAUCCGAUCCGGACCCGCGGUUGAACCGGUAAACCCGGUGACCCAGAAAAAAAUCCGGUUUGGGUUUUGUGAAAAACACAAUAUUUAGAAACCCGCAAAAACCCGUAAAAACCCAGUAAAACCCGGAACCCCAUACCGGUUGAACCACCGGUUGAACCAAUAAAUAACUUUAACUUCUUUUUUUAGUUUUUAAUUAUGUUUUUAGAUUAUGUUUUAUAUUAUAAAUUUCCAAUUAAGAAAUUAGGUGAUGAUUAAAAAAAGGUUAGGUUUUCCAUUUUCAAUUUUAUAUUUGUAAUUUUUAGAUUUUGAUGAAGAUUUCACUAUGCCAUCUAAAGAAAAUGAAAUAAACGAUGGCAGAGAGAACCAAAAUUAGUUGAUGUGAUUUGGUGUUAGUUUAUUUUCGUUAUUGACAAUUUAUUACAAUGAUCUUUUACUUUUGGUUUAUUUUGUAUUUGAAGUUUAAUUUAUUAUUCACAUUACACAUUUAAAUAUUUAUAAAUUUUAUGUCUUGAUUUUUUUAGAUGUCAUACAUCUUACCUUAUUAGAGAAAAUUUUAAAUAGUUUAAACUAUUUUUAUUAUAUAAUAAUAUAUCAGCUAUGUAAAUAAAAAUAUUAAACUAAAUUUAAGUAUUUUCUAAAUGUUUUUAAACUUAAAAAUAUAUACAUAUCCAAACUAUUAUUUUACUUUCUUAAAAAACAUUUACAAAAUAUUAAACUUUAGUUUCUAUAUUUUUAUUUACAUAGCUGAUAUAUUAUUAUAUAAUAAAAUUAAUUUAUUUAUUAGCCUGCGGUUCACCCGCGGUCGAUCCAGUGACCCAGCAACCUAGUAAGUCGUCCGAUUCAGUGUUCGGGUCGGGUUUAAAAACAUUGAUUUUAACCGUCUCUUAGAUACAACCUUUCUAUAUAUAUAAAUAUUUUUUUAUCUCCUUUUUGUUACAAUAUACUUUGUGAGUGACCAUCAAUUGCUUUCAUCCUUGUGUUUACGUACAGAUAAUAAUUCACGUGGUGAAUUUCUUGGUCCACUGGUAUAUAUCAAUGAUCCACCCCUAAGAUUUGUUUUUCUUUCAUUAUUUUUCAGUUUUCAAUAUAACAACCCUAAUUAUGUUUUUCUAAUUGAUACGUAUUUUUAUUUACUUCCAUUUUAACAGUUCGUUGAAGACAAGGUAAACGGCAACAGCUAUUACUACCCAAAAGGCAUUUACUACGUUAUGGACUACUUCAAAACCAAAUACGGAGACCCUUUAAUCUAUGUCACCGAGAACGGUGAGUUUAUACAUAAUAAUUAUUGUAUUUUUAUAUUAGUCGAAGAAACUGAUUUUCAAAUAUUGUGGAAUAUUUUUAAUGUGGCGGUUUAUUUAGGAUUUAGUACCCCCAGUGAAGAAACCCGUGAGCAGGCUUUUGCCGAUUACAAGCGAAUUGAUUAUCUAUGCAGCCAUCUGUGUUUUCUCCGCAAGGUCAUCAAGUGAGUAGAUGCUAUACUAUAUGGAUACUUUUCUUCCAAUGUUUAUCAACUUCUUUCUCUUUUUGGUAAUAUAUAUCUCUUGUUUUUAGGGAGAAGGGUGUCAACGUAAGAGGUUAUUUCGCAUGGGCUCUUGGAGACAACUAUGAAUUCUGUAAAGGCUUUACCGUCAGAUUUGGACUCAGUUACGUUAAUUGGGAAGAUCUGGACGAUAGAAACCUCAAAGAAUCUGGCAAAUGGUACCAGAGGUUCAUUAAUGGAACCGUCAAGAACGCUGUGAAACAAGAUUUCCUCCGCUCAAGCCUCUCUUCCCAGAGUCAGAAGAAGAGGCUCGCUGAUGCAUGAAACACUUUCC